Molecule: long non-coding RNA, 775 nt
Organism: Oncorhynchus masou masou (cherry salmon)
Lineage: Eukaryota; Metazoa; Chordata; Actinopteri; Salmoniformes; Salmonidae
Exons: 4
Source: RefSeq, a predicted model, not a curated record
UUUGUUUGUUCUUGUUGAUUAAAUGCGACACUCUUAUUCACGUCCAUACAAAAAAAACGACUUGCCUGAUGGGUGAAACAAUGACAAAAACGCCACCUGCUGGAGGGAGACACGUUUUCCGCCGAGUUGGACCUCUCUCUCCCGAACUCUUCCCUCUCUGACGCGCUCCCGGGGGUGACGUCACCUCCCACAGCACCGACGGACAACACGCGGAUCCCUGUCUACGUGGCGGGGCGGAAGGAGCGCGUCUAGCGGAGAGAGUUGUCAGCAGCGAGACGAACCGAUGAACAUGUCUGACUCCAACCCUCCCAUAUUCCCCCCCGCUCCUCUCUCUGACCCCUCCCACACCGACCCCAGCCCCCCAGGAGAAGACACACACACAGUUCUCCCGCCUUCCACACCCGUCCCCCAGCCCUCGUUGGCCACGGAGGGUUCCGAGUGCUCUGAGCCAGCCAACGAGGUGGCAGGAGAAGACGUGACCAGGGACGACAGAGAUGAGGCUCCUCUUGACCAAUCAGGGGGCGGCGGCGGCGUGGAGGAUCAGGUGACUGAGUGUGGCCAAUUGGUGAGCCUGGAGGCGGAGACCGCUGCUGCCGAGGGGGAGGAAGAGGACUCUCUUCAGGUCAAGGGGAAAGGUUGGGGUGGAUGGGGCUCCUGGGGGAAGUCUCUACUGACCAGUGCCACAUCUACUGUGGGUAACAGUCUAACUUCAGUAAAGGAGAAGGCCGGAGCUCUGCGUCUUCACAGGACCUCAGUAGGAGAGGGAGGCGAGGAG